UAUAUGAGCAGGACUGCUGUGCUCUCAGGAGCACGGAGGCCUUCGUGCUCCUGAGCCAUUUUCGAUGAUAGAAUUUUCGAAUCGACGAUCGGCUCCGUUAGAAUAUUUGAAGUUUUUAGAAAAUAAUUUUUACGAUUUUUUGAUAUCAUUUACCUAGUGAUUGAUAAGCGUUAAAAAUCAAUAAGUUUUAAUUGUUGAUAUCUGCCGUUUUCAAGUUUAACGGUAUAGAAAUAUUCAAAUCAGAUAAAAUUUUGAUACAAAAUUCUUUAUACUAUCUACAACAAGAUCAAUAUUUCUGAUCGAAAAUUUUAAUGCUUUAUCACUAUUUUUUAUUAAUUUUUUAUUUUCAGCCGUUAAAAAUUAUUGAUUUUGAAUCCUUUUGAUUACUAGGUAAAUGAUAUCNUGAUCUGUAAGUUUGAUUUUAUUCUUAUUACAAAAUUAGUUAGAUAUUAAUCACAAUCAGAUUUUCGUUGCGGUAUUUGUUCUAACAAUCUAAGGCGUAUUUUCAAUUUGAUUGUUGUUAAAAUCUAACGGAUGUUAAUCUGUAUUAAAUUAAUUUUAUACGUAUAUAAUUUGUUUGUUAAUUUGUUUGUUGGCAUUUAAAUAUAAUUUUUUUUUGGGAUUAG
RNAcentral lists this long non-coding RNA (626 nucleotides) under Ananas comosus (pineapple). RNAcentral's name for it is "long non-coding RNA (ACOM_LNC002269)". The record is from RNAcentral. Lineage: Eukaryota; Viridiplantae; Streptophyta; Magnoliopsida; Poales; Bromeliaceae.